This 474-nucleotide long non-coding RNA is filed under the name Felis catus (domestic cat). Its description in RNAcentral is "lncRNA (ENSFCAG00000052485.1)". The record is from RNAcentral. Lineage: Eukaryota; Metazoa; Chordata; Mammalia; Carnivora; Felidae.
CAAAAGGAAAGUUCAAGUGCUAAAAUAGGUAAUAGGUGAUACAAGUACUUCCUAAAACUCAAUUCUCCUGCCAAUAUCCGCAAAAGCUGUAUACUUCUCUUCAGCAAUGUCUCUGACCAGGAGGUAAACAGUGGAGUAAGAGGGAAGAUGCAAAACUGUUCAACUCGUAUCACAAAUUCUUGAUUUUCUCUUACAUUCCUGAUUCCUGCUCACCUUAGGAAAAACCAUCCUUCAUCGUAGAAAGAAUAAUUAUGUGACAACUAAGCUUGGGAAUGGAACAAGCAGAUGUUUACAGAAAAUGAAGUCAUUUUCCUGGAGGAUGGCAGGACCAUGUAUUUUCUCAACUUUGCAAGCAAUCAUGGAAAAUCUCAAAAUGUGUCUCCCGUUGAACUGAAAUUUAAACCAGAUCUUCAAAGAGAAACCUACUUAAAAUGUAAAGGAAUAAGACCAGAUACCAAUAGUAGGUGAAUGGUU